This 402-nucleotide ribosomal RNA is filed under the name Fusobacteriota bacterium. RNAcentral's name for it is "Fusobacteria bacterium partial 16S ribosomal RNA". It matches the Rfam family "Bacterial small subunit ribosomal RNA", at positions 355 to 776 of the family's 1533-position model. Lineage: Bacteria; Fusobacteriati; Fusobacteriota. The record is from RNAcentral.
UGGGGAAUAUUGCACAAUGGAGGGAACUCUGAUGCAGCGACGCCGCGUGAACGAAGAAGGCUUUCGAGUCGUAAAGUUCUUUUAUAUGGGAAGAUAAUGACGGUACCAUAAGAAAAAGCCCCGGCUAACUACGUGCCAGCAGCCGCGGUAAUACGUAGGGGGCUAGCGUUGUCCGGAAUCACUGGGCGUAAAGGGUUCGCAGGCGGAAAUGCAAGUCAGGUGUAAAAGGCAGUAGCUUAACUACUGUAAGCAUUUGAAACUGCAUAUCUUGAGAAGAGUAGAGGUAAGUGGAAUUUUUAGUGUAGCGGUGAAAUGCGUAGAUAUUAAAAAGAAUACCGGUGCGAAGGCGACUUACUGGGCUCAUUCUGACGCUGAGGAACGAAAGCGUGGGUAGCAAACAGG